AUGUGCCUCUUUACGUCCCCAU
RNAcentral lists this microRNA (22 nucleotides) under Petromyzon marinus (sea lamprey). RNAcentral's name for it is "pma-miR-1a-5p". Its record names the gene pma-miR-1a-5p. The record is from miRBase by way of RNAcentral. Lineage: Eukaryota; Metazoa; Chordata; Hyperoartia; Petromyzontiformes; Petromyzontidae.